GGGGGAGGAUGGGGCUAGGUCAGCAAUGAGGAGGUGGAGGGUAGGUGUGCCGAUCGGAGAAGAGGAGGUGUUGGUCAAGAUUGAGUUCGAACGAGUGGAGGCAUAUCGGUCAAUAUUGAGAUCGGGGGAAGGUUACCAUGUGGGAAGAGAGACCUAAGUGUCAUGAAAAUGGUUGUGCAUGUGCACGACCUAUUCCCUCCCGCAUAUUAUCACUACAUGUGGGUAAUCAAUCAUCUAACAACAAACACACUAUGCUGAUAUUCAAAGGCAUGCGUCAAAUAUAAGAUUACAACAACCCCAAAGAUAGCACAUGCUAGGCAUGAAUAAGCAUUACAACAUAGUAUGCUAAGACCACGAUCAUAUAAACAGGUGCAAUGAUAACAUAUCAAGAUCUCACAUCAAUCCCUAGUACAAAUAGAGACUUUACCCCUCCUCCCCCCACCCCCCAAAAUUAUC
Molecule: long non-coding RNA, 456 nt
Filed under: Setaria viridis
Lineage: Eukaryota; Viridiplantae; Streptophyta; Magnoliopsida; Poales; Poaceae
Description: long non-coding RNA (SVIR_LNC004283)
Source: RNAcentral